Molecule: transfer RNA, 73 nt
Filed under: Coxiellaceae bacterium
Lineage: Bacteria; Pseudomonadati; Pseudomonadota; Gammaproteobacteria; Legionellales; Coxiellaceae
Description: tRNA-Thr
Rfam family: tRNA
About the family: Transfer RNA (tRNA) molecules are approximately 80 nucleotides in length. Their secondary structure includes four short double-helical elements and three loops (D, anti-codon, and T loops).
Source: RNAcentral
GCUGGCGUAGCUCAGUUGGUAGAGCAACUGAUUUGUAAUCAGUAGGUCGCGGGUUCGAAUCCCAUCGCCAGCU